Scatophagus argus is the source of this 166-nucleotide long non-coding RNA. RefSeq lists it as uncharacterized. The record is from RefSeq and is a predicted model, not a curated record. NCBI's taxonomy places the organism in Eukaryota, Metazoa, Chordata, Actinopteri, Scatophagidae. The transcript is spliced from 2 exons.
CAGAAUUUUAACAUAUGUUUGUGGAGUAUGAUAACAGCUCGUAUGUGUAGAUACAGUUGGACCGAGACUGAAAAACCUGAAGUCGGCGCCAACGAUCAGAUGGACAGCAGCAGAGUAAGGCUUUCUGAGUUUUCACACUCGUGAUCAAAGAGGAGAAGGAGAAGAA